UACGAAGGGGGCUAGCGUUGCUCGGAAUCACUGGGCGUAAAGCGCACGUAGGCGGAUCUUUAAGUCAGGGGUGAAAUCCUGGAGCUCAACUCCAGAACUGCCUUUGAUACUGGGGAUCUCGAGUCCGGAAGAGGUGAGUGGAACUCCGAGUGUAGAGGUGAAAUUCGUAGAUAUUCGGAAGAACACCAGUGGCGAAGGCGGCUCACUGGUCCGGUACUGACGCUGAGACGCGAAAGCGUGGGGAGCGAACAGG
RNAcentral lists this ribosomal RNA (253 nucleotides) under uncultured bacterium. RNAcentral's name for it is "partial 16S ribosomal RNA". It matches the Rfam family "Bacterial small subunit ribosomal RNA", at positions 524 to 776 of the family's 1533-position model. The record is from RNAcentral.